AUCCAGCUGACGAGUCCCAAAAAGGAUGAUACGCAUUUUCUGGAU
RNAcentral lists this non-coding RNA (45 nucleotides) under Schistosoma margrebowiei. Lineage: Eukaryota; Metazoa; Platyhelminthes; Trematoda; Strigeidida; Schistosomatidae. The record is from RNAcentral.